This 395-nucleotide ribosomal RNA is filed under the name uncultured bacterium. Its description in RNAcentral is "partial 16S ribosomal RNA". It matches the Rfam family "Bacterial small subunit ribosomal RNA", at positions 523 to 918 of the family's 1533-position model. The record is from RNAcentral.
AUACGUAGGGUGCAAGCGUUAAUCGGAAUUACUGGGCGUAAAGCGUGCGCAGGCGGUUUUGUAAGACAGUGGUGAAAUCCCCGGGCUCAACCUGGGAACUGCCAUUGUGACUGCAAUGCUGGAGUGCGGCAGAGGGGGAUGGAAUUCCGCGUGUAGCAGGGAAAUGCGUAGAUAUGCGGAGGAACACCGAUGGCGAAGGCAAUCCCCUGGGCCUGCACUGACGCUCAUGCACGAAAGCGUGGGUAGCAAACAGGAUUAGAUACCCUGGUAGUCCACGCCCUAAACGAUGUCAACUGGUUGUUGGGGAUUUAUUUUCUCAGUAACGAAGCUAACGCGUGAAGUUGACCGCCUGGGGAGUACGGCCGCAAGGUUAAAACUCAAAUGAAUUGACGGGG